Molecule: unclassified non-coding RNA, 27 nt
Filed under: Mus musculus (house mouse)
Lineage: Eukaryota; Metazoa; Chordata; Mammalia; Rodentia; Muridae
Description: oocyte_clustered_small_RNA11927
Source: RNAcentral
UCAUCACAAGCCACUGUUCCAUUUCAA